UGAGUAACACGUGGGUAAUCUGCCCUGCACUUCUGGAUAAGCCUGGGAAACCGGGUCUAAUACCGGAUAUUCAGUUCCUGCCGCAUGGUGGGGGUUGGAAAGUUUUUCGGUGCAGGAUGAGCCCGCGGCCUAUCAGCUUGUUGGUGGGGUAAUGGCCUACCAAGGCGACGACGGGUAGCCGGCCUGAGAGGGUGAUCGGCCACACUGGGACUGAGACACGGCCCAGACUCCUACGGGAGGCAGCAGUGGGGAAUAUUGCACAAUGGGCGAAAGCCUGAUGCAGCGACGCCGCGUGGGGGAUGACGGUCUUCGGAUUGUAAACCCCUUUCAGUAGGGACGAAACGCAAGUGACGGUACCUGCAGAAGAAACACCGGCCAACUACGUGCCAGCAGCCGCGGUAAUACGUAGGGUGCGAGCGUUGUCCGGAAUUACUGGGCGUAAAGAGCUCGUAGGCGGUUUGUCGCGUCGUCCGUGAAAACUCGGAGCUUAACUCCGAGCUUGCGGGCGAUACGGGCAGACUUGAGUACUACAGGGGAGACUGGAAUUCCUGGUGUAUCGGUGAAAUGCGCACAUAUCACGAGGAACACCGGUGGCGAAAGCGGGUCUCUGGGUAGUAACUGACGCUGAGGAGCGAAAGCAUGGGUACGAACAGGAUUAUAUACCCUGGUAGUCCAUGCCGUAACGGUGGGCGCUAGGUGUGGGGUC
RNAcentral lists this ribosomal RNA (706 nucleotides) under Dietzia sp. Its description in RNAcentral is "bacterial SSU rRNA". It matches the Rfam family "Bacterial small subunit ribosomal RNA", at positions 107 to 829 of the family's 1533-position model. Lineage: Bacteria; Bacillati; Actinomycetota; Actinomycetes; Mycobacteriales; Dietziaceae. The record is from RNAcentral.